This 678-nucleotide ribosomal RNA is filed under the name Triticum aestivum (bread wheat). Its description in RNAcentral is "partial small subunit ribosomal RNA". The record is from RNAcentral. Lineage: Eukaryota; Viridiplantae; Streptophyta; Magnoliopsida; Poales; Poaceae.
AUGAACCGCUCCAAGAACGGGGCAACCUCUGUUGCUGACCUUACAGAUGACCUUAUCAUCGAGAUUCUGUCCCUGCUGCCAGUCAAGUCAGUGUGCCGAUUCAAGUGUGUCUCCCGGCUCUGGUACAGCCUCAUCUCCCACCCUGAACACCGCAAAAGGCUUCCCCAGACCAUCUCCGGCUUCUUCUACCCCAAGCACAGACUCAAUGAUGAGUAUGAUGUGAUAACAUUUCCCACUUUUGAUGGUAUUUCAAGGGAUCAAGAGCAGCUAUUCCCUGAUUCCUCGUUGCCCUUCUUGACCGCAUACAGGCAGAUUUUCCCAAAGGACUGCUGCAAUGGCCUUAUUUUCUGCCUCUGCUGGAAGGACUCCCCAAUAGACGAAGCCGAUUAUGUGGUAUGCAAUCCUGCCACUGAGGAAUGGGUAGUCCUGCCUGAUGCUGGCCAUAAAAGUGAUGCAAUAGCCUACCGUUUGGGUUUCGAUGGAGCCAUGUCACUCCACUUCCAUGUGUUCCAGAUCCUAGAGGAUGAUGAGGACUAUGGAUAUAUCUCAGGUGUUAAUAUCUACUCAUCAGAGACAGGAGCCUGGAGUUACAAGGAAAAUGGUUGGGGCGACAAUGAGAUUCAGAUAGUUGAGAUGAGAGGUCUUUUUCAAUGGAAUGAUGCACUUGCUCACACGUGA